RNAcentral lists this ribosomal RNA (491 nucleotides) under uncultured bacterium. RNAcentral describes it as "bacterial SSU rRNA". It matches the Rfam family "Bacterial small subunit ribosomal RNA", at positions 355 to 864 of the family's 1533-position model. The record is from RNAcentral.
UGGGGAAUAUUGGACAAUGGGCGAAAGCCUGAUCCAGCAAUGCCGCGUGUGUGAAGAAGGUCUUCGGAUUGUAAAGCACUUUCGGCGGGGACGAUGAUGACGGUACCCGCAGAAGAAGCCCCGGCUAACUUCGUGCCAGCGGCCGCGGUAAUACGAAGGGGGCUAGCGUUGCUCGGAAUUACUGGGCGUAAAGGGCGCGUAGGCGGGUGUUUAAGUCAGAGGUCAAAUCCCAGAGCUCAACUCUGGAACUGCCUUUGAUACUGGACACCUAGAGUUCGGGAGAGGUGUGUGGAACUCCGAGUGUAGAGGUGAAAUUCGUAGAUAUUCGGAAGAACACCAGUGGCGAAGGCGACACACUGGCCCGAUACUGACGCUGAGGCGCGAAAGCGUGGGGAGCAAACAGGAUUAGGUACCCUGGUAGUCCACGCCGUAAACGAUGAGUGCUAGUUGUCGGCAUGCAUGCAUGUCGGUGACGCAGCUAACGCAUUAAG